AUCUUCAGACUCCAGUUGAGAUCUCCAAGGACGAUCAUCGAGAGCUGUGUAUGAGGCAGCUUCUGGGACUGGUCAGAGAAGCUAGGAUUAGGCCUUUUAGGUACGUUGCUGAUGACCCUUCCAAGUAUUUCGCCAUUGCUGAGGCUGUUGGCAGUGUUGACAUGCCGCUCGGUAUCAAGAUAGGGGUUCAGUACAGGAAAAAGAAAAGGCUAAGGUGUCUUAACAAAAAAGAAAAUGAAAGCCACGCAGGAAUGGGAACACAAAAUGUAUCACAAAUGCCUGAAGAGUGGUGGUUUUUCUGGGACAUAUUAUUGCUGGGACUAAUAAGAAGACUUGGGAGUAGUUGCAUUUUACAUUGAGGUCAUCAAUUUAUGGGUUUUCAAUAUAAUCAAAGUUUUUGGUCUUAUAGGUGAUAAGAACGCUAAUGUUUUUGGAUAGAAACAUUUGAACAAUAAUAGAUUAUGGUGCUGCUGCUGUUUGAGGAAGCUGUUAAAGGAACUCAUUGUUGUCGAUAUCAUUAAGCAAUUGUGGUUCUGCUACUGUUGGGAAAAUUGUAAAACACAUGCUGCUGUUGGGAAAAUUGUGGUGUUGUUGCUGUUGGGAAAGAAUCGAAUUGUUUGAGGGAUUUAACCCAUGUUAACCAGGUAAUUUGAUUUCUCUUUCUUUCCCUUUCUCUAUAUCUCUAUUUCUUUUUGGCUCUCCUUUCUGGAAUAGCUAUGCUCACAUUUUCUACCAAAAAAAGAAAAAAGAGUAUGAAGAGUAAUUGAGUUAUUGAGUAAAAAAGAAGAGUAAUUGAGUAAUUGUAUGUGAAGUCUGACUUCUUCCAUGAUUUUUUUUUUUUGAAGUGUUGGUACUGUGAAAUGUUCUAUUUUGGGGUUGGAAUUGGAUUGUUUUACUUUGAAGCUUUUGGGUGGGGCUGUUGGCAAAAUUGAGGGUUUAGUUGAAGUGCUGGUAAAUUGGUGUUGCUGAAGUGCUGAAUUUGGAGUUUAUUUGGGUUUCUAAUAAAUUGGUGUUUCAUUUGAGUUUCAUAGAAUUUUGUUUCUUCCUGUGAAUUCACUCCUUACUCUUUCAAAAGAAAAAAAAAAUUGUGCUGUGUUGUGUGACUCUUUUGGGUGUCUGUCCACUUCAGAUUUCUUUUGCUGUGUUUCUUUACAUGUUUGUACAAACUGUUUUUUUUUUUUUAAUGUUAUAAAACUUGCAGCUUUCUUGCUAUUUUGAGGUUAUAAAAAUAUAUAAGCCUUUGGUUGGAUUGUAAGGGUUGUGAAAAGAAUGGAAAUGACACAACACAUCACAUUGGUUUACUGUAUGUAAAGGCAUUACUAUCAUGGACAUAAACUGUAAGCUAUGAGAUUGAGGCCCUUGAUCACCCAUUUUGAUUUAUUUUAAUUCAUUUUGGACCAUAAUGCAUCUUGCAAGUAGUCUGUAGUUUAUGGAAAAUUUUACUUUCCUGUAUGAUCCAAAGGUUUAGUCAUGGAAUUCUUAGGGUUUGUUUAGAAUUUCUUGGGUUGUGUCUGUUUGUUUUGCCUCUCCCCUUCUCUCUCUAUUUGAUUACUAACUAUUAAACCUAUUUUGCUAUCAGUUUCUUCAUUUUCAUUUUGGUUGUUUUAGGAUUCGUUUGAGAGUGGAAUGAACAAGAGCCUAAUUUCCUCAUGCUACGAACAAUUAAUCAAGCUGUUAUGUGCUUGAAUGUUUUUGUUGUUUUAUUUUAUUUAAAUUUUGUCCUUCACAAACUUCAAUUACAUUUUGAUCCUAACAUUAUUUACAAUGUUGCUUCAGUUGCCU
Non-coding RNA from Camellia sinensis, 1782 nucleotides. The record is from RefSeq and is a predicted model, not a curated record. NCBI's taxonomy places the organism in Eukaryota, Viridiplantae, Streptophyta, Magnoliopsida, Ericales, Theaceae.